Molecule: long non-coding RNA, 937 nt
Organism: Carica papaya (papaya)
Lineage: Eukaryota; Viridiplantae; Streptophyta; Magnoliopsida; Brassicales; Caricaceae
Source: RefSeq, a predicted model, not a curated record
AAUGUGUGUGAGUGUGUGUGUACACACUUUCGAUUUAAUCCAAAGGUUGGAAAUUUUGGAGCAUUGAUAGUACCUAAUAUGGCCCAUUAUCCUGCCGCCUCCCUCUAUAUAAUUGUAAAACGCUAGUGUUCUCCAUCUUCAGCUUCUGUUCAGGGCUCUCCCUGGCCGCCCUUUGGAUGGUGCUUGCUUUGGAUUGUUUCUCUACAUCUUAACAUCAUCCUUUUACGAUUAAAAUUAUCUGCCGAACAGUAGAUGACCUGGAUGAUGCUAUCAAGCGUUUCCAAAUUGCAAGUAUAAUGGCGUUGCAAUUUUAUAGUUGGUUAGUGACCAUAAUUUCUGAUGGAGUUCCUCUAGAUUAAUAUUUGAUUCAUGAACUAUAAUAUCGUGUUCUUAAUGGCCUUCAUAUUCCUUUUCAAGACUUCAGCUUCAAAUGCAUCAAUGACAAUUUUCUCUCUUUACAAAUAGACUGAUUUUGAGUACAGAAAAUUCAGUCUUUAAGUUGGUGGGAACAAUUGCCCUUGAUGCAAUUGAAGCUGAAGUCUUGAAAGAGAAAUUGAGUUUCUGUUAAUUGCUAGAUAAUUCAUGAAUUAAAAUGAAGUUAACCAGGUCAAUCAGAAGUUGGCUGCUGUGCUGAGUUGUGGGUAUUUCAGAGAGUAGCUACACCAUCUGAUAUGAAGUUGGUUGAGGUGGUAGCUAUAUAUUUUUCAUUGGAUAAACAAUUAUUCAUACAAACUGGUGUCUGAUUUAUUUAUAUAUUUUAUUUAAUGAAUGUCACCAGGCUGUUAUUUGACAAAGUAAUGGACUAUUAUGACAAAUGAUAUGUAACACUCUGCAUGUCUGUAUCUAGCCGGAGGUAGAUGCAACUCUAUAAUGAAAUAAGGAUUUUUCUGUAAUAUUUUUCUUGAUUUAGCUAUAUCAAACUUUUUAGAUUUGAUUA